This 388-nucleotide unclassified non-coding RNA is filed under the name uncultured fungus. RNAcentral's name for it is "sequence contains ITS1". The stretch from base 1 to 105 matches the Rfam family "5.8S ribosomal RNA", at positions 50 to 154 of the family's 154-position model. Lineage: Eukaryota; Fungi. The record is from RNAcentral.
GAAAUGCGAUACGUAAUGUGAAUUGCAGAAUUCAGUGAAUCAUCGAAUCUUUGAACGCAUAUUGCGCUCUCUGGUAUUCCGGAGAGCAUGCUUGUUUGAGUAUCAGUAAACACCUCAACUCCCUUUUCUUUUUUGAAAUGGGAGCCAAUUGAGCCGUGAGGGAUGCUUGAAAUACAGGUUCGGGCUGACCAAAUGUCCUGGGCUACAAGCAUUUCAUACUUGAUCCCGUUAAACCGGAUCAUUUCCAUUGCUGCAGCCAUCACAAACAGGAUCAAACGUGUCCAGUGUUUCCGACUGAUGCAGGAAGUUGGAGCCAACACAGAGAGAUCUGUGUGUAGGUUCUUUCUAACUCGAUCUCAAAUCAAGUAAGACUACCCGCUGAACUUAA